This is a long non-coding RNA of Prunus dulcis (almond), 548 nucleotides long. RefSeq lists it as uncharacterized. Lineage: Eukaryota; Viridiplantae; Streptophyta; Magnoliopsida; Rosales; Rosaceae. The transcript has 2 exons. The record is from RefSeq and is a predicted model, not a curated record.
CGCUCCGUUCCCAUUUGCCUGUGUCACGUUCCGCUCGUCUCUAGUAAACUUCAUCAGUACAGUAAACCAGCGAAAUUGUUAACCCUGAUUGAUUGCUGUGCUCAACUCACCAUCUCUCUCUUCUAAACCCUCUGAUUUCGAUCGAAUGGCGAAUCCGCAGCACAUAUCUCUUCGGCCAUGGAUCCUCGAAGCAGUCCCGUUCAUCGUCGUUCUCCUAAUAGUAGCUCAUGUCCUCGCUUUGGUGUAUUGGAUAUACAGACUAGCUACUGAGAAAGAGAGGCAGCCCCAGAGGAGAAAAGCACACUAAGGAACAGGUUGAUUUGUGAAAAAUAAAAUGAAUAUGAAAACCCUAAUUUGUUGAUUUCUUGUGUAUGAAUGUUAAUUGAGUUAGCAAGUCAUUGCAGUUACUGGUCUGUGUACUAAUUAAUAGGUUAUGGAUUGCUGGGAAUUGAUGAAUUACACGGUUUAAGAAUUGGCAGAGACCCUUCUGAAUCUGAUUGUUGUUAAAAUUUAUGUAUUUUUUAAUAUUUAUUUUCAGUUCUGGUUCA